GCCUGCGGCAGUUUUGCUGUUAGGCAAUGUGGUGUGCGGGUCGGUUAGCGGGACCGUCACUCCACUCGAAGUCCAGCAUUGAGUAUGGUUAUCAUUGGAUUUGGCCCAUAGAGGGUGAGAGGCCCDUACGAGUGGAGGUUCAGAUAUGUGUGACGGUUCACUAGGCCGACCUCAGAGUCGGGUUGUUUGAGAUUGCAGCCCAAAGAGGGUGGUAAACUCCAUCCAAGGCUAAAUACUGACACGAGUCCGAUAGCGAACAAGUACCGUGAGGGAAAGUUGAAAAGUACUCUGAAGAGAGAGUAAACAGUACGUGAAGCCGCAUGCAGGUAAACGGGUGGCGUCAAGCUGCGAGCCCGGAGGAUUCAGCUGAUUAGGGUGUAGUGUACGUGCGCCUGGUGCGUCGAGAGACCAGAAUAAGAUGCAUUGCGGUCCAUUCCUCUGCUAGGAGUGGGGCACUAUUGGUGUGCAUGUGUUCUUCUUCGCGGGGACAUGUGUAUGCCGGUUGUUGCUAUGCAUGCCGGGUGGGUGCCGGAGCAUGCCGCUCAUCUGUUGGGUCACCUAGUCAGUGCAUUUUCUCCGUGGUGAACACCACGACCGGUGGAAUUGCCAGUCUACUGUGAUCAAGUCGUAUCCUUCUGAUUCUGUCCAUUCUUUCCAUUCUCUUUGUUUGUUCAUUCGUUCUCCCUUUCUUUCCUUAUUGCUACUGCUUCGCGGUGGUGGUAAUGACGGGCUGGGAAGGAUGGAUGGAUGAAUGGGUGGAGUGAAUAUGGGAGUGGAUGUGUAUAUUGGUUGGGUACGAUCGCAGAUAGAGUCGGUGGACGGCGCAGUAGUGUCUUGGCACCGCUGCGUGUUAUCGUACACUCUCUGUCGUAAACGAUUGAUGGAGUUGACUGAGUACUGUGACAACUUCUCCAUUGAUCGGCGGAUAGCAGUGGUAAAAAUGACUGUGCAAGGCACCGGAGUUAUCCACCUCGUUCAUUUAUUCUAUUGACUUUUUUGUCGAUGGAUGGAUGAAAAUAGUACCCGACACGCAUGUUACAGGUGCUAUGAAAUCAGGAUACGCCGCUGUCUGCCUGGUGUUGGGCCUGACUGUCGUGUUGCCUACGCAAAGUGGGUCCGGCGGUGGUUUCAGAUACUUGGCUGUAGCAGUGUGUAGCGUAUCUUGGGUGUGUGUGGUACUGUGAAGGUGAAAUAGUCAGUGGUGCUGUGGUAGACUAGCUACCCGACCCGUCUUGAAACACGGACCAAGGAGUUUAACAUGUGUGCGAGUCAAAGGGUCCUACGAAACCCCUAGGCGCAGUGAAAGUGAAGUUCAUGCUGUACUAUUGUACAUGCACAGUACAGUGUGGCGAGGUGAGAUCUCCUUGUGCUCAUGACACCACACGCCACAGACCUUACUGGGCAUUAUUGGGGCAAGGAGCGCAUCACCGGCCCGUCGCAUGUUGUGGUCAGAGGUGUACUUGUACGUGGAAGGGUGUCUAUGU
RNAcentral lists this ribosomal RNA (1484 nucleotides) under Bertiella affinis. RNAcentral's name for it is "partial 28S ribosomal RNA". It matches the Rfam family "Eukaryotic large subunit ribosomal RNA", at positions 119 to 809 of the family's 3401-position model. The record is from RNAcentral. Lineage: Eukaryota; Metazoa; Platyhelminthes; Cestoda; Cyclophyllidea; Anoplocephalidae.